CGGCAGCUAAUACCGCAUACGCCGUAUUGGGAAAGCUUUAGCGCCCUGGGAUGAGCCCGCGUUAGAUUAGCUAGUUGGUGGGGUAACGGCCUACCAAGGCGACGAUCUAUAGCUGGUCUGAGAGGAUGAUCAGCCACACUGGGACUGAGACACGGCCCAGACUCCUACGGGAGGCAGCAGUGGGGAAUAUUGGACAAUGGGGGCAACCCUGAUCCAGCCAUGCCGCGUGCGUGAAGAAGGCCUUAGGGUUGUAAAGCGCUUUCACUGGUGAAGAUGAUGACGGUAGCCAGAGAAGAAGCCCCGGCUAACUCCGUGCCAGCAGCCGCGGUAAUACGGAGGGGGCAAGCGUUGUUCGGAAUUACUGGGCGUAAAGGGCGCGUAGGCGGAAUAUCAAGUUAGGGGUGAAAGGCCUGGGCUCAACCUAGGAACUGCCUUUAAAACUGAUAAUCUAGAGUCCGGAAGAGGAUGGCGGAAUUCCCAGUGUAGAGGUGAAAUUCGUAGAUAUUGGGAAGAACAACCGGUGGCGAAGGCGGCCAUCUGGUCCGGUAC
Molecule: ribosomal RNA, 549 nt
Filed under: Pelagibius sp.
Lineage: Bacteria; Pseudomonadati; Pseudomonadota; Alphaproteobacteria; Rhodospirillales; Rhodovibrionaceae
Description: bacterial SSU rRNA
Rfam family: Bacterial small subunit ribosomal RNA
Source: RNAcentral